Molecule: ribosomal RNA, 532 nt
Filed under: uncultured Bacillus sp.
Lineage: Bacteria; Bacillati; Bacillota; Bacilli; Caryophanales; Bacillaceae
Description: partial 16S ribosomal RNA
Rfam family: Bacterial small subunit ribosomal RNA
Source: RNAcentral
AGAGUUUGAUCCUGGCUCAGGACGAACGCUGGCGGCGUGCYUAAUACAUGCAAGUCGAGCGAAUCUUAAGGUGCUUGCACCUUUUGGUUAGCGGCGGACGGKUGAGUAACACGUGGGCAACUUGCCUGUAAGACUSGGAYAACUUCGGGAAACCGGAGCUAAUACCGGAUAAUCCUUUUCCUUUCAUGAGGAAAAGCUGAAAGUCGGUUUACGCUGACACUUACAGAUGGGCCCGCGGCGCAUUAGCUAGUUGGUGAGGUAACGGCUCACCAAGGCGACGAUGCGUAGCCGACCUGAGAGGGUGAUCGGCCACACUGGGAYUGAGACACGGCCCAGACUCCUACGGGAGGCAGCAGUAGGGAAUCUUCCGCAAUGGACGAAAGUCUGACGGAGCAACGCCGCGUGAGCGAUGAAGGCCUUCGGGUCGUAAAGCUCUGUUGUUAGGGAAGAACAAGUAUCSGRGUAACWGCCGGUACCUUGMCGGUACCWAAMCAGAAAGCCACGGCUAWCUACSYSCCAGCAGYCGCGGUWA